RNAcentral lists this ribosomal RNA (935 nucleotides) under Candidatus Phytoplasma ulmi. Its description in RNAcentral is "bacterial SSU rRNA". It matches the Rfam family "Bacterial small subunit ribosomal RNA", at positions 217 to 1161 of the family's 1533-position model. Lineage: Bacteria; Bacillati; Mycoplasmatota; Mollicutes; Acholeplasmatales; Acholeplasmataceae. The record is from RNAcentral.
GCUUAAGGAGGGGCUUGCGACACAUUANUUAGUUGGUAGGGUAAAGGCCUACCAAGACUAUGAUGUGUAGCUGGACUGAGAGGUUGAACAGCCACAUUGGGACUGAGACACGGCCCAAACUCCUACGGGAGGCAGCAGUAGGGAAUUUUCGGCAAUGGAGGAAACUCUGACCGAGCAACGCCGCGUGAACGAUGAAGUACUUCGGUAUGUAAAGUUCUUUUAUUAAGGAAGAAAAAAGAGUGGAAAAACUCCCUUGACGGUACUUAAUGAAUAAGCCCCGGCUAAUUAUGUGCCAGCAGCCGCGGUAAUACAUAAGGGGCGAGCGUUAUCCGGAAUUAUUGGGCGUAAAGGGUGCGUAGGCGGUUUAAUAAGUCUAUAGUUUAAUUUCAGUGCUUAACGCUGUUGUGCUAUAGAAACUGUUUUACUAGAGUGAGAUAGAGGCAAGCGGAAUUCCAUGUGUAGCGGUAAAAUGCGUAAAUAUAUGGAGGAACACCAGAGGCGUAGGCGGCUUGCUGGGUCUUUACUGACGCUGAGGCACGAAAGCGUGGGGAGCAAACAGGAUUAGAUACCCUGGUAGUCCACGCCGUAAACGAUGAGUACUAAGUGUCGGGUAAAACUGGUACUGAAGUUAACACAUUAAGUACUCCGCCUGAGNAGUACGUACGCAAGUAUGAAACUUAAAGGAAUUGACGGGACUCCGCACAAGCGGUGGAUCAUGUUGUUUAAUUCGAAGAUACACGAAAAACCUUACCAGGUCUUGACAUUUUCUUGCGAAGUUAUAGAAAUAUAAUGGAGGUCAUCANGAAAACAGGUGGUGCAUGGUUGUCGUCAGCUCGUGUCGUGAGAUGUUAGGUUAAGUCCUAAAACGAGCGCAACCCUUGUCGUUAGUUGCCAGCAUGUAAUGAUGGGGACUUUAACGAGACUGCCAAUGAAAA